UUUCGAAGUCCUCUUCCCACCCCCUCAGAAAAGAUUUUCCCCACAAAUUUCUUUAUAAUCGUAAUCUAUUGGGUUGUCCGGAAAGUUCGUGCCGAUUUUUAAAGGAAAGAAAAAGGUCAAUAAAUAUUUGCCAUUACAUUUUUAAUCAACCAAAUAUGCACAAUGCGUCUCCAUCUUUCCCUGAAAAUAUCCUCUUCCCAGAAUUGAGGUGGUUUCAUGGCAAAUAAGUCGAAAGGUAAGCUACUAUAAAUCGGCACGAACUUUCCGGACAACCCAAUAUAUCAUUUGAAAGACUUCUGCAUCACUUGAAGUAAAGAUGUCUUCUAGAAGAUGUAUGGCAAGCCUGGAUACGGCAAGUUCAUAAUUAAGAAACAUCAGAAAAACAUUACCAAAUUUGUCAAAAUACCUUACUUUACCUACUUGGACGUGAAAUUAGGCGAACAAGAUAGGAAAUGGGCUCCUCAUAAGGUCAUCUCAAUUUGUGCUGAAGAAAUAAGACUGUUUGGUGGUGUACUGCUGAACUCAUCCACUAUAACUUCUUAAAACCUGGAAAAAACCAUUACUGCAGAAACAUAUUGCCAUGAAAUUGCCAAAAUGAACAAAAAAUUGCUACUCCUCCAUCCCAGACUGGUCAACAGAAGAGAACCAAUCAUUCUUCAUGACAAUGCUUGACCACAUGUUUCACUAAUAACACUCUAGAAGUUGAGAGAACUUGGCUACUAAGUUCUUCUCCACUCAGCUUAUUCCUCAGACAUUUCUCCUACUGACUAUCACUUUUUGAAGCACCUUGAUGGUUUUCUGCAGGUGGAGUUCAAAAAUCAAACCAAUGCUGAAAGCUCCAGAAUUCCAGAUUUUAUGUUACCAGAAUAAACAGACUUGUAACUCGGCAAAAAUGCGUUGAUUAUAAUAGUACUUACUUCGAUUGAUAAAAUUUCCACAUUGUUGAAAUAUAUUGUGAUGAAUUUCCUAUUUCAAAA
Molecule: long non-coding RNA, 977 nt
Organism: Octopus bimaculoides (California two-spot octopus)
Lineage: Eukaryota; Metazoa; Mollusca; Cephalopoda; Octopoda; Octopodidae
Source: RefSeq, a predicted model, not a curated record